RNAcentral lists this ribosomal RNA (253 nucleotides) under uncultured bacterium. Its description in RNAcentral is "partial 16S ribosomal RNA". It matches the Rfam family "Bacterial small subunit ribosomal RNA", at positions 524 to 776 of the family's 1533-position model. The record is from RNAcentral.
UACGGAGGGGACUAGCGUUGUUCGGAAUUACUGGGCGUAAAGCGCACGUAGGCGGAUUUGUAAGUCAGGGGUGAAAUCCCGAGGCUCAACCUCGGAACUGCCUUUGAUACUGCAAAUCUCGAGUCCGGAAGAGGUGAGUGGAAUUCCUAGUGUAGAGGUGAAAUUCGUAGAUAUUAGGAAGAACACCAGUGGCGAAGGCGACUCACUGGACACGUAUUGACGCUGAGGUGCGAAAGCGUGGGGAGCAAACAGG